GUUCCGUGUUAUCUUUUUGCUCUCCAGUAUCUUCUUCUGCUAUGGCUGAUUCUGCCAUUCUGCGGAUGAUUUCAGCAAGUUGAGAUUCUAUCUUCUGUAGUUCAUUACUGAAGCAUUGUGUCAAUGCCAACCUAUCGGAUCCGAUUUGCUUAUCCAUCUGAAUGAUGAACUCAUCAACUUGGUCGUCCAUGUCAUGAACCAAAUCUUGAAGUUGGU
This 216-nucleotide unclassified non-coding RNA is filed under the name Hevea brasiliensis (rubber tree). Lineage: Eukaryota; Viridiplantae; Streptophyta; Magnoliopsida; Malpighiales; Euphorbiaceae. The record is from RNAcentral.